RNAcentral lists this long non-coding RNA (985 nucleotides) under Sorghum bicolor (sorghum). RNAcentral's name for it is "long non-coding RNA (SBIC_LNC007711)". The record is from RNAcentral. Lineage: Eukaryota; Viridiplantae; Streptophyta; Magnoliopsida; Poales; Poaceae.
GCCGGAAAUAUGGUAACCGAACGGCUCCUAAAUCGUUUUCGAUCUGAUUUUGAAUUUGGUGUUCCGAAUUUUGAGCCGAAUUCAAAUUUGAUAAAAAAAUACGAAUUCGAUCGAAUUAAAUCCCAUCAAUCUCGCUGCCGGUGAUCUCGAUCCAUAAUCCCUCUUUUUCUAGCAAACCAUAAUCCUCUCUUUCUAAUGACCCAAAUGGAAGCUGCUAACAAUUUGAGAUCCACCAGACCACUACGGCUUUUUUUUUUUGAGAGGCAACCAGCCCAGCGCCCUUAGCUAGAACAUGGAUAUCGAUCGAGAUGGGAGUAUGGAUUCGGAUCAGGCAUGGAGGUGUUCGAUUUUGAAUGUUUGAACGGAUGGUUUACGCAGGUAGCCAAUGCCUAGCAAGGUUUCAUCUACUUCUGAAUUUUUAACUCGUUUUUGUUUUUUCUGAUUCCGAUAGAAGUAUGAUCUCGUCCUACCCCUACUUGCUCCUUCAAUUACGAUAUUGCUGACACAUGAUAUUGGUAAGAAGAUUUUAUCGUGGGUUUGUGAAUCUGGUACCAAACAAGAUCUUAGACUUAACAAUGAUAGUUUUUAUUUUUCACUAUAUAUAUUUUACCAAUAACUUUAGGGAAGAUUUAGUGAUAAUGACUAAAAUUACCCCAUACAUGCACCCUGUAAGGUCGAAGUCCGUGUGCAUACAAGAAAGUUGCAUGGGCUACUUCCACUAUUUAUGGGGCAGUUAUGUACCUUAGGGGGUGUUUAGUUGGGAUUGUUAAAAUUUAACAAGUACUGUAUUAUUUUUGUUUUAUUUGAUAAUUAGUGUCUAAUCAUGGACUAAUUAGGCUCAAAAAAUUCAUCUCGCAAAUUACACUCAAGCCAUGUUUUUAAUUUAUAAAUAGUCUACAUUUAGUAUUUCAUGCAUGUGUCCAAACAUUCGAUGUGACGGAUGGUAAACUUUACCGUCCGUAACCCCUUAACCACUGAGAUGGAG